ACGCUCCACCCGUUGUGGUGCUCCCCCGCCAAUUCCUUUAAGUUUCAGCCUUGCGGCCGUACUUCCCAGGUGGCUCGCUUCACGGCUUCCCUACGGCACCGACAACGGUCGCACCGUGGCCGACACCUAGCGAGUAUCGUUUACGGCUAGGACUACCCGGGUAUCUAAUCCGGUUCGUGCCCCUAGCUUUCGCCCCUUGCCGUCAGGUCCGUUCUGGUGAGACGCCUUCGCCACUGGUGGUCCUCCAAGGAUUACAAGAUUUCACCCCUACCCCUGAAGUACCUCUCACCUCUCCCGGCCUCGAGCCGAACAGUAUCUCCUGAAAGCCCAACAGUUGAGCUGCUGGAUUUCUCAAGAGACUUAUCCGGCCGGCUACAGACCCUUUAGACCCAAUAAUAACGGUUACCACUCGAGCCGCCGGUGUUACCGCGGCGGCUGGCACCGGUCUUGCCCGGCCCUUGCUAUGCAAUGCUUUUUAGGCAUCACGACAGCCAGAUUUGUAACCUGGCACUCGAGGUCCCCUUAUCGCCGUUGCCGGCAUUGUAAAGUUUUCGCGCCUGCUGCACCCCGUAGGGCCUGGAUUCGUGUCUCAGAAUCCAUCUCCGGGCUCUUGCUCUCACAACCCGUACCCGUCGUAGGCUAGUAGGUACGCUACACCCACUACUACCUGAUAGGCCGCAGACCCAUCCUCUGGCGCCGGAGCUUUCGAUCUCGGGGCAUUCCAGCGACCGAGAUCUAUCGGGGAUUAUACCCAGUUUCCCGGGUUUAUACCCGUCCGGAGGGUAGGUUGUCCACGUGUUACUGAGCAGUACGCCAUGUAUUGCUACAUUC
RNAcentral lists this ribosomal RNA (831 nucleotides) under uncultured archaeon. Its description in RNAcentral is "partial 16S ribosomal RNA". The record is from RNAcentral.